This 225-nucleotide ribosomal RNA is filed under the name Ligilactobacillus salivarius. Its description in RNAcentral is "Lactobacillus salivarius partial 23S ribosomal RNA". It matches the Rfam family "Bacterial large subunit ribosomal RNA", at positions 2234 to 2458 of the family's 2925-position model. The record is from RNAcentral. Lineage: Bacteria; Bacillati; Bacillota; Bacilli; Lactobacillales; Lactobacillaceae.
GGCAAUCACGGCGGGAGACAGUGUCAGGUGGGCAGUUUGACUGGGGCGGUCGCCUCCUAAAAGGGAACGGAGGCGCCCAAAGGGUCCUUCAGAAUGGGUGGAAAUCAUUCGCAGAGUGUAAAGGCAUAAAGGAGCUUGACUGCGAGACCUACAAGUCGAGCAGGGACGAAAGUCGGGCUUAGUGAUCCGGGGGUUCCGUAUGGAAGGGCCAUCGCUCAACGGAUA